RNAcentral lists this ribosomal RNA (433 nucleotides) under uncultured bacterium. Its description in RNAcentral is "partial 16S ribosomal RNA". It matches the Rfam family "Bacterial small subunit ribosomal RNA", at positions 29 to 507 of the family's 1533-position model. The record is from RNAcentral.
AGCGAACGCUGGCGGCAUGCCUAACACAUGCAAGUCGAACGAGACCUUCGGGUCUAGUGGCGCACGGGUGCGUAACGCGUGGGAACCUGCCUUUAGGUUCGGAAUAACUCAGAGAAAUUUGAGCUAAUACCGGAUGAUGUCUUCGGACCAAAGAUUUAUCGCCUUUAGAUGGGCCCGCGUUGGAUUAGCUAGUUGGUGGGGUAAAGGCCUACCAAGGCGACGAUCCAUAGCUGGUCUGAGAGGAUGAUCAGCCACACUGGGACUGAGACACGGCCCAGACUCCUACGGGAGGCAGCAGUGGGGAAUAUUGGACAAUGGGCGAAAGCCUGAUCCAGCAAUGCCGCGUGAGUGAUGAAGGCCUUAGGGUUGUAAAGCUCUUUUACCCGAGAUGAUAAUGACAGUAUCGGGAGAAUAAGCGCCGGCUAACUCCGUG